RNAcentral lists this ribosomal RNA (447 nucleotides) under uncultured bacterium. RNAcentral's name for it is "bacterial SSU rRNA". It matches the Rfam family "Bacterial small subunit ribosomal RNA", at positions 329 to 793 of the family's 1533-position model. The record is from RNAcentral.
UGCCAGACUCCUACGGGAGGCAGCAGUGGGGAAUAUUGCACAAUGGGGGAAACCCUGAUGCAGCAACGCCGCGUGAGUGAAGAAGUAUUUCGGUAUGUAAAGCUCUAUCAGCAGGGAAGAAGAUGACGGUACCUGAAUAAGAAGCCCCGGCCAACUACGUGCCAGCAGCCGCGGUAAUACGUAGGGGGCAAGCGUUAUCCGGAUUUACUGGGUGUAAAGGGAGCGCAGACGGCAGUGCAAGUCUGGAGUGAAAGCCCGGGGCCCAACCCCGGAACUGCUCUGGAAACUGUACGGCUGGAGUGCAGGAGAGGUAAGUGGAAUUCCUAGUGUAGCGGUGAAAUGCGUAGAUAUUAGGAGGAACACCAGUGGCGAAGGCGGCUUACUGGGCUGUAACUGACGCUGAGGCUCGAAAGCGUGGGGAGCAAACAGGAUUAGAUACCCUGGUAC